RNAcentral lists this long non-coding RNA (185 nucleotides) under Danio rerio (zebrafish). RNAcentral's name for it is "lncRNA si:ch211-207d24.1 (ENSDARG00000096520.2)". Lineage: Eukaryota; Metazoa; Chordata; Actinopteri; Cypriniformes; Danionidae. The record is from RNAcentral.
CACAGAUGGAACAGCCCUAAUUGUAUUGAAAUGUAUAUUUAAAACCAACUUACUGACUACGGCAGUCCUAAGAGGGAGUGCACGAAAGGCCACUUUUUGGUUUGUCCCGCUCCAGUUAAUUUGAGUUAGCCAAAAGCUUUCCCGGGAUACGCCAAACUGCUUAGUGGAAAACACCAAUGAUUUCA